RNAcentral lists this ribosomal RNA (328 nucleotides) under uncultured eukaryote. RNAcentral's name for it is "partial 18S ribosomal RNA". It matches the Rfam family "Eukaryotic small subunit ribosomal RNA", at positions 1470 to 1796 of the family's 1831-position model. The record is from RNAcentral.
CCCUUAGAUGUCCUGGGCCACACGCGCGCUACACUGAUGCAUUCAACGAGCUUAUAACCUUGGCCGAGAGGCCUGGGCAAUCUUGUUAACGUGCAUCGUGAUAGGGAUAGAUUAUUGAAAUUAUUAAUCUUGAACGAGGAAUUCCUAGUAAACGCAGAUCAUCAAUCUGCAUUGAUUACGUCCCUGCCCUUUGUACACACCGCCCGUCGCACCUACCGAUUGGAUGGUCCGGUGAAGCCUCGGGAUUGUGGUUCUUGCCGCUUUAUUGUGGCGUGACCGCGAGAACUUGUCUAAACCUUAUCAUCUAGAGGAAGGUGAAGUCGUAACA